CCUACGGGAGGCAGCAGCAGGGAAUUUUGCACAAUGGGCGAAAGCCUGAUGCAGCGACGCCGCGUGCGGGAUGAAUGCCUUCGGGUUGUAAACCGCUUUCAGGAGGGACGAAGCGAAAGUGACGGUACCUCCAGAAGAAGCCCCGGCCAACUACGUGCCAGCAGCCGCGGUAAUACGUAGGGGGCGAACGUUGUCCGGAUUUAUUGGGCGUAAAGAGCUCGUAGGCGGCUCAGCAAGUCGGCCGUGAAAACCCGGGGCUCAACCCCGGGACGCCGGUCGAAACUGCUGUGGCUAGGGUCCGGUAGAGGAGAGUGGAAUUCCCGGUGUAGCGGUGGAAUGCGCAGAUAUCGGGAGGAACACCAGUAGCGAAGGCGGCUCUCUGGGCCGGUACCGACGCUGAGGAGCGAAAGCUAGGGGAGCGAACAGGAUUAGAUACCCUGGUAGUCCUAGCCGUAAACGUUGGGCACUAGGUGUGGCGGACUCAUUGACGUCUGCCGUGCCGCAGCUAACGCAUUAAGUGCCCCGCCUGGGGAGUACGGUCGCAAGGCUAAAACUCAAAGGAAUUGACGG
This 570-nucleotide ribosomal RNA is filed under the name uncultured Actinobacteridae bacterium. RNAcentral's name for it is "bacterial SSU rRNA". It matches the Rfam family "Bacterial small subunit ribosomal RNA", at positions 338 to 916 of the family's 1533-position model. Lineage: Bacteria; Bacillati; Actinomycetota; Actinomycetes. The record is from RNAcentral.